GGGUCGAUGCCCGAGUGGUUAAUGGGGACGGAUUGUAAAUCCGUUGGUUAUGCCUACGUAGGUUCAAAUCCUACUCGGCCCA
This 82-nucleotide transfer RNA is filed under the name Porphyridium sordidum. RNAcentral's name for it is "tRNA-Tyr". It matches the Rfam family "tRNA". From Rfam's summary of the family: Transfer RNA (tRNA) molecules are approximately 80 nucleotides in length. Their secondary structure includes four short double-helical elements and three loops (D, anti-codon, and T loops). The record is from RNAcentral. Lineage: Eukaryota; Rhodophyta; Bangiophyceae; Porphyridiales; Porphyridiaceae.